Molecule: long non-coding RNA, 716 nt
Organism: Dermacentor silvarum
Lineage: Eukaryota; Metazoa; Arthropoda; Arachnida; Ixodida; Ixodidae
Exons: 3
Source: RefSeq, a predicted model, not a curated record
GUGUUUUCCAAGUCCUAUGACUAUGCAUUCUGCUCGAGGGAUAUCGGUGGUGUAACAUGGAUAAAGCAACACAUUUUCCUGAAAAGAAUUAGAGCAAAAGGCAAGCAAGAAACGAAAUGAUGAUCGCACAAAUGCGUUUGGAGACGACGGACAUGCGAUGAACCUCCUCCACUAUGUGCUGCUGGCCAGUUUUCUCUUCAAUACAACAUUCGUGGAAGGGCGAGGAAAAGGAGGGUGCUCAUUGAGACCAAAAGCAGGAAACUGUACAAGUAAGCCUUGGUGGAACUACAACCCGGAAACACAGAGGUGUGAACUUAUAACGGAAGGAUGUCCUCGCAAGAAGCGUAACUAUUACCGUUCAUGCAAGAUAUGCGCAGAAGUGUGCAUCCUGCCGACGCAGUAAUUUCAAGGUUAAGCUAAGAUGAGUUUACUAAUAACGUAAAGUCACGCAAAUGCUGCUUGUACAGGGGGUAAAUGCACUAUGCUGGAGAACAUUUUUGGUCAGUAAGCGCAUGAAGAAGCAAACGUUAGUCUUUGUUAUUUUGCAAUUAUUCUGUAUAUUAGGUAUUAAAUUCAAUCGCGUUCCACGACAUUUUCAUUUUCAGUACUUUUACAGAGCCUGUGUACAGUUACAUUCGUAUUAAAUUUGCUAGCCAGUACGGUAAUGCCACGUUCAGGGGCGAUAAUUUAUACAUAAACAGAAACACCGGAUGUCC